This 860-nucleotide ribosomal RNA is filed under the name uncultured bacterium. RNAcentral describes it as "bacterial SSU rRNA". It matches the Rfam family "Bacterial small subunit ribosomal RNA", at positions 645 to 1504 of the family's 1533-position model. The record is from RNAcentral.
AGUGUGGUAGGGGCAGAGGGAAUUCCCGGUGUAGCGGUGAAAUGCGUAGAUAUCGGGAAGAACACCAGUGGCGAAGGCGCUCUGCUGGGCCAUCACUGACGCUCAUGGACGAAAGCCAGGGGAGCGAAAGGGAUUAGAUACCCCUGUAGUCCUGGCCGUAAACGAUGGACACUAGGUGUCGGGGGAAUCGACCCCUCCGGUGUCGUAGCCAACGCGUUAAGUGUUCCGCCUGGGGAGUACGCACGCAAGUGUGAAACUCAAAGGAAUUGACGGGGGCCCGCACAAGCGGUGGAGUAUGUGGUUUAAUUCGAUGCAACGCGAAGAACCUUACCAGGGUUUGACAUCCUGCGAAUCUCUUGGAAACUUGAGAGUGCCUUCGGGAACGCAGUGACAGGUGGUGCAUGGCUGUCGUCAGCUCGUGUCGUGAGAUGUUGGGUUAAGUCCCGCAACGAGCGCAACCCACGUCUUUAGUUGCCAGCAUUUAGUUGGGCACUCUAGAGAGACCGCCGGUGAUAAACCGGAGGAAGGUGUGGAUGACGUCAAGUCAUCAUGCCCCUUACAUCCUGGGCUACACACGUACUACAAUGCUACGGACAAAGGGCAGCAAGUUCGCGAGGACAAGCAAAUCCCAUAAACCGUAGCUCAGUUCAGAUCGUAGGCUGCAACUCGCCUACGUGAAGGAGGAAUCGCUAGUAAUCGCAGGUCAGCAUACUGCGGUGAAUACGUUCCCGGGCCUUGUACACACCGCCCGUCACACCAUGGAAGUUGGCCACGCCCGAAGCCGUUACUCCAACCCUUGUGGAGGAGGACGUCGAAGGUGGGGCUGAUGACUGGGGUGAAGUCGUAACAAGGUAGCCGUA